RNAcentral lists this ribosomal RNA (497 nucleotides) under Naja atra (Chinese cobra). RNAcentral describes it as "partial 12S ribosomal RNA". It matches the Rfam family "Bacterial small subunit ribosomal RNA", at positions 794 to 1522 of the family's 1533-position model. The record is from RNAcentral. Lineage: Eukaryota; Metazoa; Chordata; Lepidosauria; Squamata; Elapidae.
GCCUAGCCGUAACAAAACAAUUAAAUAACUAAUUGUUCGCCAAAUAACUACGAGUGAAAACUUAAAAUUUAAAAGACUUGACGGUGCUUCACACCAACCUAGAGGAGCCUGUCUAAUAACCGAUAAUCCACGAUUCAACCAACCCACUCUAGCCUAACAGUCUAUAUACCGCCGUCGCCAGCUUACCUUGUGAAAGAAAUAAAGUAAACCUAAUAACACCACAUUAAUACGACAGGUCGAGGUGUAACUAAUGAGCGGGUCAAAGAUGGGCUACAUUUUCUAACCCAGAAAACACGGAUAAACUAUGAAACUAGAAACUGAAGGCGGAUUUAGCAGUAAGCUAAGAACAGAAUGCUCAGCCGAAACCAACGCAAUGAAGUGCGCACACACCGCCCGUCAUCCCUGUAAAAAAAUAUAAAUUAUUCAUAAACAAAUUAUUGACCAUAAAGCAGGGCAAGUCGUAACAUGGUAAGCGUACUGGAAGGUGCGCUUAGAAA